This 400-nucleotide ribosomal RNA is filed under the name uncultured bacterium. RNAcentral describes it as "partial 16S ribosomal RNA". It matches the Rfam family "Bacterial small subunit ribosomal RNA", at positions 338 to 755 of the family's 1533-position model. The record is from RNAcentral.
CCUACGGGAGGCAGCAGUGGGGAAUAUUGCACAAUGGGGGAAACCCUGAUGCAGCGACGCCGCGUGAGUGAAGAAGUAUUUCGGUACGUAAAGCUCUAUCAGCAGGGAAGAAAAGGACGGUACCUGACUAAGAAGCCGCGGCGAACUACGGGCCAGCAGCCGCGGUAAGACGUAGGGGGCAAGCGUUAUCCGGAUUUACUGGGUGUAAAGGGAGCGUAGACGGCAGCGCAAGUCUGGAGGGAACUCCCAUGGCUUAACCAUGGAACUGCUUGGGAAACUUUGCAGCUGGAGUGCAGGAGAGGUCAGCGGCAUUCCUCUUGUCGCGGUGCACUGCUUCGAUCUUAGGCGGUACACCAGUGGCGAAGGCGGCUUACUGGACUGUACCUGCCGUUGCGGCUCG